Molecule: ribosomal RNA, 434 nt
Filed under: Bactrocera aquilonis
Lineage: Eukaryota; Metazoa; Arthropoda; Insecta; Diptera; Tephritidae
Description: partial 12S ribosomal RNA
Source: RNAcentral
UAAACUAGGAUUAGAUACCCUAUUAUUUAAAAUGUAACUUUAAUCACUAAGGUAGUAGUAGUUAUGUUCUUGAAACUUAAAAAAUUUGGCGGUAUUUUAGUCUAUUCAGAGGAACCUGUCCUGUAAUUGAUAAUCCACGAUGUACCUCACUUAAAUUUGUUUUUCAGUUUAUAUACCGUCGUUAUCAGAAUAUUUUAUUAGAAUAAUAAUUUUCUAUAAUUUUUAUAAGAAUUUAUAUCAGAUCAAGGUGUAGCUAAUAUUUAAGUAGAGAUGGGUUACAAUAAAUUUAUUUAAACGGAUCUAAUUUUGAAAUGUUUAGUGAAGGUGGAUUUGAUAGUAAAAUUUUAAAGAUUGUUAAUUUGAUUUUAGCUCUAGAAUAUGCACACAUCGCCCGUCGCUCUUGCUAUUAAGGCAAGAUAAGUCGUAACAUAGUA